This 76-nucleotide transfer RNA is filed under the name Brucella lupini. RNAcentral's name for it is "tRNA-OTHER". Lineage: Bacteria; Pseudomonadati; Pseudomonadota; Alphaproteobacteria; Hyphomicrobiales; Brucellaceae. The record is from RNAcentral. RNAcentral also lists the same sequence under 1 other name.
GCCCGCGUAUCGGUCGCGUCUUCUAAACGCGGAACCGUAGAGGAUCACGCCAGUUCGAAUCUGGCCGCGGGCUCCA